Molecule: non-coding RNA, 205 nt
Organism: Pelobates cultripes (western spadefoot toad)
Lineage: Eukaryota; Metazoa; Chordata; Amphibia; Anura; Pelobatidae
Source: the annotation of a GenBank genome assembly
GGUGUCUGGCUAUUCAUCUCAUUUGCAGCAGGUCACACCAGUAAAAGGGUGUUCUCCUAAGUACUAAAGAUACUUGCCAUAAACAGACUGAAUACUUAUGAGACUGGAGAAGUCAUUAUAAAUUGAAUUUGGGGAAACCAUUUGUAGUAUAUUGUGUUGAGCUAUUUCAAUUGAUUUUGUUUGAUGUGUUCACUGCAAACAGCUG